UGACUGGAAGGAGUGGAGCCAGGCUCCACCCCUCCUAGACCACAUUUGAGGGCUGACUGCUACUGGGGUUCUUUUUCUAGAGUUCCCUUCUUUGUGGAGUCUUUCCUGAAGCAUGUUUAAUCCUCAAAAGAGAGGAGAAAAGGGAAAUGGAUGUCAAAAGAUGAAGUUGCACCUUCCAGAAAGCUUUGCAUAGGAAGAGGAAACUAAUAAUUGGAAUGUUGAACUUUAAAGUGUUGAUGCUGCUUAGACAUAAUCUUAUAUUUUCAUCUAACUCUUUGUCUUUGGAAGCAUAAAAUUCUUGAGUUUUAGAGUGUUGUGUUUUUUUAGUAAAAAAAUGUAAUUAUACAUCAAUCACGUAACAGGAAAGAGUAGAUGUAAUAUAUUUCUCUGCGUAGAGUCCUAACUUUUGAAGUAUGAAAGUACAGUGUGUGCAGGGGGGAAUGAAAAGGACAGAUGGAGAACCAACUACAGAAAGAAGAAUGAAAGAGAUCAUACACAAGAGUGAGGAUUUGCAGUGCCUUAUUAGCAACUAUUACUUAGGUCGCUCUGAAGGUAGUAUUUCCUAUUUACUUCCAUGGGAACUACUACUACAAAGAGCUCAGUAACACUAUUUGAAGCACAAUCUCAGCUACAAAACACUAGUUAUCAACAUAGUCUUAAGUAAUACUAAAAGAUUAACAUUAAUCCAGGUAAAGAUAGGAAUAUCACAGUUUACAUCUAUUUAUUUAGGUUCAGAUUUCAGUCUAGGUAUUUUGUACAUAUUUCUUUGCCUUCAAACUCACUUGGGUUGUUCCUUGGUGUAUAUAAAUGCCAAUGCACAUGCUUUGGUUUUCAGAACAAACAAAAAGGAUACGAACAAUGCUGUUACUUUGCUAAGUAAUUUAAUAGUACUGUUUGUGUUUGGUUUCCUGGGCAUGAAGAAUGCUAUUUAUUUAAUAGUUGUUCUAUAUUCCAAGCUAAGUUUGUAAGAGGAUUUCCCUGUUUGCAAGGCUGGAACAAACAGAUUCUCACUAGAUAAUUGAUUAACAAGUUCAGUUGACAAUAUUUCAAAAGAAACAUUUACCACUGUAUGUUCUGACAAGUGCUAAGUCUUUACUGGUAUGGUUUGCCUAACUAAAAGUAAUCUGCAAGAAUUAGAAAUGUGAUUUUUUUUUUUUUUUUUUCUACAAUUAUGGUGAAGCUCUAGAGAAUAUGUUCAAAUGAAGGGCUAACUGUUC
Long non-coding RNA from Lagopus muta (rock ptarmigan), 1217 nucleotides. RefSeq lists it as uncharacterized. The record is from RefSeq and is a predicted model, not a curated record. NCBI's taxonomy places the organism in Eukaryota, Metazoa, Chordata, Aves, Galliformes, Phasianidae. The transcript is spliced from 3 exons.